AUGGUCCUUUGGCUUUUGGUCAUCUCCCUGCACCUGCAUAUUCUCCAAUGUCAUGCUGCCACGGACACCCUCUCGCUUAGCCAAGAACUAACCGGCCAUGACAAACUUUUGUCCAGCAAUGGCAGGUUUGCGCUUGGCUUCUUCCAAACCGGGAGCAAGUUCUCUGACAACACACCAAAAUGGUACCUUGGGAUUUGGUUCCACACGGUCCCCAAGUUUACAUCCGUAUGGGUCGCCAACGGUGAAAAUCCUAUCGCCAACCUCUCAUCGUGCAAGCUUGUGCUUUCCCAUGAUGGCAACCUUGUCGUCCUCCUAGAGGAGACCACCACGGCUUGGUCCACAAAAGCCAACACCACAACCAACACCACCGUCGCUACUCUCCUCGACGAUGGAAACCUUGUCCUACGUAGUGCAUCCAAUUCAUCCAAUGUCUUUUGGCAAAGCUUUGAUUACCCCACCGAUACUAUUCUUCAAGGUGCGAAGAUAGGCUGGAACAAUUCCACCGGCUUAAUCCGCCGCCUUGUCUCCAGGAAGAACACCAUUGACCAAACUACCGACAUGUACUCUUGGGAGUUAUCUGGCAAUAAUGGUGGUCAUACUACCAUUGUUUCUAUGUUUAACCCGUCCCAACAAUAUUGGUCAAGCGGAGAUUGGGGAGGCCGAUACUUUGGCAACAUCCCAGAGACCGUAGGACAGACCUGGCUCUCACUUGAUUUCACGAGCACUGAAGAAGGUGCGUACAUCCAGUAUGCAAUUGAGGAUCCAACAGUGCUAUCACGCGGUAUAAUGGACGUUUCCGGUCAAAUGAAGGUGCUCGUGUGGUUCGAGGGAUCACAAGAUUGGACCAUCUACACUGCACUAAAAUCUCAAUGUGAUAUCUAUGCUUCAUGUGGCCCUUUCACGGUCUGCAACGAUGUCCCCUCCCCAUCGUGCAGCUGCUUGAAGGGCUACUCCAUACGAUCACCUCAAGACUGGGAGCUUGAUGAUCGAACAGGAGGAUGUGCAAGAAAUACUCCACUCUACUGCAGCGCCAACAUUACUGGAGUCGGCAAGGCAGAUAAGUUUUACCCUAUGAAUUCUGUCCAACUUCCUGUUGAUGCCAAGAAUGUUGGGAUAGCCACCACUGCAGCAUAUUCGUACGAUCAAGGUGGUUGCUUCAUUUGGCAUGACAAGCUGCUCAAUAUUCAGCAACAAGGUAACAAUAUUCUUCACCUUUGCCUCGCUGCAAAAGAAGAGCAAAGUAGUAAUACCAAUAGAAGGGGGCUAAUCAUUGGUGUUGCUAUUGGUUCUCUAACGGACUCGACAACCAUAGCAGUGAAAAGGCUUGAUGGAUUCCGCCAAGGAGAGAAGCAAUUCAGGGCUGAGGUGAGCUCAACUGGGGUCAUCCAACAUGUCAACUUGGUUAUACUGAUUGGCUUUUGUUGUCAAGGUGAUAAGAGGUUACUUGUCUAUGAAUACAUGCCCAAUGGCUCCCUCGAUUCCCAUCUCUUCCAAAGCAAUGGCAUGGUGUUGGAUUGGACUACAAGGUACCAAAUAGCCCUUGGAAUUGCUAGAGGAUCAUCCUAUUUGCAUUCUAGUUGUCGGGCCUGUAUUAUACAUUGUGAUAUCAAACCGGAGAACAUACUUCUAGAUGGGUCUUUCACUCCUAAAGUCGCGGACUUUGGAAUGGCCAAACUUUUCCGAAGGGAUUUCAGCCAUGUUGUUACUACAAUGAGGGAAACCAUUAGAUACCUUGCUCCUGAAUGGAUCAGUGGAACUCCUAUCACAUCAAAAGUUGAUGUUUACAGCUAUGGCAUGGUUUUGUUAGAGAUUAUAUCAGGCAGCAGGAACUCGAGUAAGCAAUCCUCCUACGAAGAUGGCGUCCAUGAAGCAUAUUUUCCGGUGCGAGUUGCACGCAGUCUUCUUGAUGGAGAUAUUGCUACUUUGGUAGAUGCAAAGUUGUUGGGUGAAGUGAAUCAGGAGGAGGUUGAAAGAGUUUGCAAAGUCGCUUGCUGGUGUAUUCAAGAUGUUGAGUUUGACCGGCCUACAAUGAGUGAGGUGGUGCAGUUUCUCAAGUGUGUGUCUGAAGUUGAGACGCUUCCAAUGCCAAGAUUACUUCAAGCUAUCGCGGGACAGCCAAAUUCAAAGAUAAUGUAA
This 2136-nucleotide ribosomal RNA is filed under the name Triticum aestivum (bread wheat). RNAcentral describes it as "partial small subunit ribosomal RNA". The record is from RNAcentral. Lineage: Eukaryota; Viridiplantae; Streptophyta; Magnoliopsida; Poales; Poaceae.